UGGUGUCCCGUCAUAUUUCUCCGGGAGGUGUAGACGGGUAUCGCUGACCUGAGCGGUUUGCUGGAUGGGCUGGUGUGCUGACUCAUUGGGUAGACGGGCUCUAGAAUAUCCUCCGCUGUUGAGACAUUGUAGACUGCGGAGAACAUCUUUCAUGGCCGUCCCCAGUUGAGCCAGCUGAUCAUGGUGUUGACGAAGAAGUUAACCUUGUUCAUCGAUUGUCUGGGAGAUGUCCGGUUGUCCUGCUGCUUCCAUAUUGAUCCAACAGCUUUCCCAAUGCCUCCUGCACCUUCUGGACCACAAACGGAAUAUUCCUUCCUCUUUUCCAGAGCACCCCAUCAGCAAACAGGGAGAGGCCAAAACCAGGCCCGACAUCCUGGAACAUGUUAUUCAUCAUUAUAUUAAACAAAAUUGGAC
Molecule: long non-coding RNA, 414 nt
Filed under: Salmo salar (Atlantic salmon)
Lineage: Eukaryota; Metazoa; Chordata; Actinopteri; Salmoniformes; Salmonidae
Description: lncRNA (ENSSSAG00000120475.1, ENSSSAG00020063934.1)
Source: RNAcentral